RNAcentral lists this ribosomal RNA (502 nucleotides) under uncultured Desulfobulbus sp. Its description in RNAcentral is "bacterial SSU rRNA". It matches the Rfam family "Bacterial small subunit ribosomal RNA", at positions 903 to 1382 of the family's 1533-position model. The record is from RNAcentral. Lineage: Bacteria; Pseudomonadati; Thermodesulfobacteriota; Desulfobulbia; Desulfobulbales; Desulfobulbaceae.
AGCCCGCUCAGAAACUACAAAGGAAUUGACGGGGCCCGCACAAGCGGUGGAGCAUGUGGUUUAAUUCGAUGCAACGCGAAGAACCUUACCUGGUCUUGACAUCCCGGAGACCCUUAGGAAACUAGGGGGUGCUUCCAUCUGGAAGAAUCUGGAGACAGGUGCUGCAUGGCUAUCGUCAGCUCGUGUCGUGAGAUGUUGGGUUAAGUCCCGCAACGAGCGCAACCCUUGCCUUUAGUUGCCAGCAGUUCGGCUGGGCACUCUAAAGGGACUGCCGGUGUUAAAUCGGAGGAAGGUGGGGAUGACGUCAAGUCCUCAUGGCCUUUAUGACCAGGGCUACACACGUACUACAAUGGCCGAUACAAAGGGCAGCGACACUGCGAGGUGAAGCCAAUCCCGUAAAAUCGGUCUCAGUCCGGAUUGGAGUCUGCAACUCGACUCCAUGAAGUUGGAAUCGCUAGUAAUCGUGGAUCAGCAUGCCACGGUGAAUACGUUCCCGGGCCUU